CCCGCUGAACUUAAGCAUAUCAAUAAGCGGAGGAAAAGAAACUAACAAGGAUUCCCCUAGUAACUGCGAGUGAAGCGGGAAAAGCUCAAAUUUAAAAUCUGGCGGUCUCGCGGCCGUCCGAGUUGUAAUCUGGAGAAGCGUUUUCCGCGUCGGACCGUGUACAAGUCUUCUGGAACGGAGCGUCGUAGAGGGUGAGAAUCCCGUCUCUGACACGGACAGCCGAUGCUUCAUGUGAUACGCUCUCGAAGAGUCGAGUUGUUUGGGAAUGCAGCUCAAAAUGGGUGGUAAAUUCCAUCUAAAGCUAAAUAUUGGCGAGAGACCGAUAGCGAACAAGUACCGUGAGGGAAAGAUGAAAAGCACUUUGGAAAGAGAGUGAAACAGUACGUGAAAUUGUUGAAAGGGAAACGCUUGAAGUCAGUCGCGUCGUCCGAGACUCAGCCUCGCCUCGGCUUGGUGUACUUCUCGGACGACGGGUCAGCAUCAAUUUUGCCCCUUGGAUAAUGGCGAGGGAAAUGUGACACCUUUGCGGGUGUGUUAUAGUCUCUAGUCGCAUGCAAGGGUCGGGAUUGAGGAACUCAGCACGCGCCUUCGGGCGUCGGGGUUCGCCCACGAUACGUGCUUAGGAUGUUGGCGUAAUGGCUUUAAACGACCCGUCUUGAAACACGG
RNAcentral lists this ribosomal RNA (666 nucleotides) under uncultured fungus. RNAcentral's name for it is "eukaryotic LSU rRNA". It matches the Rfam family "Eukaryotic large subunit ribosomal RNA", at positions 24 to 664 of the family's 3401-position model. The record is from RNAcentral. Lineage: Eukaryota; Fungi.